UACGCAGGGGGCUAGCGUUGCUCGGAAUUACUGGGCGUAAAGGGCGCGUAGGCGGACAGUUUAGUCAGAGGUGAAAGCCCAGGGCUCAACCUUGGAAUUGCCUUUGAUACUGGCUGUCUUGAGUUCGGGAGAGGUGAGUGGAAUGCCGAGUGUAGAGGUGAAAUUCGUAGAUAUUCGGAAGAACACCAGUGGCGAAGGCGGCUCACUGGCCCGUUACCGACGCUCAGGCGCGACAGCGUGGGGAGCAAACAGG
Molecule: ribosomal RNA, 253 nt
Filed under: uncultured bacterium
Lineage: Bacteria
Description: partial 16S ribosomal RNA
Rfam family: Bacterial small subunit ribosomal RNA
Source: RNAcentral